GAAUAUUGGUCAAUGGGCGCGAGCCUGAACCAGCCAAGUAGCGUGAAGGAUGAAGGUCCUAUGGAUUGUAAACUUCUUUUAUAGCAGAAUAAAGUGACCCACGUGUGGGUUUUUGUAUGUAUGCUAUGAAUAAGGAUCGGCUAACUCCGUGCCAGCAGCCGCGGUAAUACGGAGGAUCCGAGCGUUAUCCGGAUUUAUUGGGUUUAAAGGGUGCGUAGGCGGAAAGAUAAGUCAGCCUGUGAAAGUUUGCGGCUCAACCGUAAAUUGCAGUGGAUACUGUUUUUCUUGAGUGUACAUAAGGUAGGCGGAAUUCGUGGUGUAGCGGUGAAAUGCUUAGAUAUCACGAAGAACUCCGAUUGCGAAGGCAGCUUACCGGGGUACAACUGACGCUGAUGCACGAAAGUGUGGGUA
Molecule: ribosomal RNA, 411 nt
Filed under: uncultured bacterium
Lineage: Bacteria
Description: bacterial SSU rRNA
Rfam family: Bacterial small subunit ribosomal RNA
Source: RNAcentral